AAAGAAAACAGCAGUAAACAACUGUCUGGCUCUUUAUUCCACAGAAAUAAUAUUCUAUUGCGUAUGUUGUUAGAAACAGUGAUUUCAUUGGAUUUCUUCUUUGUUUUGUUGAAGUCAAUUAAGAACUAAUUAUUAUUUACAAUGACAACCUGUCCAGAGGUGGAGACAACAGUUAAAUAGAACAACACAACACACAGACAUCAGACAUUAAAAGAGAUCACCAUGACAGAUACACAAGACAGAUAUACAUGGCAACAGGGCUUUCAUUGGUAGCAGUACUGCUAAAAACUCUGUGCACCUCUAUCGAGUCGAAUAGGUUUUGAUUUUGCAUUUUUUUGCAUAGAAUGAUAGAAUGAUAGAAACCAUAGUGCUCGUCAGAUCUGUUGUUACUCAGACUUGUAGGAAAACCUCUGAGUUUGAGCACCUCGUUUGGUAGAUUUUGUAAUGUUAUUGAUCUUCAACCAGAUAUGAAGGAGAGGAGAAAACAUGAAGGGGAAAGAGGAAGGUGGAAGUCUCCGGGAUUGAACCCUUACCACUAGGAUUACAUCCUGAAUCCAGGAUGCAACGCUACCACUAGACCAAACUCAAACUAGUCAUGGAACAGAUAAAGUUAUUUUACAGUUCAACCUCCCCAGAGGUCCACAUGAAGAAAAAGCAAGAAUGAACACUCAAAUGAUCAACUUGACCAGGCAGUCCCAGAACCUCUCUCUGGAGAGACCAACCCUCCUCCCAGCAUCACCCCUCUUCCUUUACCUGAACACGGUGACGACGUCAAGUCUGUGGGACCCGCACCUUCUCAACCCUCUACCUUGGGUCUGAAUGGUGACAGAAACAUGCCGGUGGUCCGGGGACUGGGCUCAGCUGACCCAGAAGAGGUGAAGAGGCUGAAGGACACCAGCUUCUUCAUCUGUAAUCGAUAGCUGCUUCUAUGAUUAGGGUUUUCCCAGCAUGACAACGACCCGAAAUACACAGCCAGGGC
This is a long non-coding RNA of Oncorhynchus tshawytscha (Chinook salmon), 979 nucleotides long. RefSeq lists it as uncharacterized. The record is from RefSeq and is a predicted model, not a curated record. The transcript has 6 exons. Lineage: Eukaryota; Metazoa; Chordata; Actinopteri; Salmoniformes; Salmonidae.